AUGAUAAUUGUAAAAUAUUAAUCUAUUCGUUAUUAUAUUUUUAGAAAGUAUAAUGCAUUAAAGCACAACACACACAAACCUUCAAAUAUUAUAAUGCAUGUACAUGUACAAGUUUAAAAAUUAUUUUUUACAGUACAUAAGCGCAUUUAACAAAAUUACGAUUUUAUGGGGUUUUCUUUGUUGUUUGUUUGUCUGUUUGUUUUUUGUAACACUCUCAAUAAUCUGUUUAAUUUACAACUUUGAACUUUUUUUUCCGGUGCAUAAAUAUGUUUUUAAAAAAUGUAUAAAAACUAUUUUCACUCUGAAAAAAGAGAAAAGUUUUAAAUUAAUUUUUUUUUUUUUUUUUCAAAAUUAGAAAUUGUUUCUACACAUUUUAUGUAUUUGAUAAAAAAAAAAAUCUAAUUUGUAAAUAAAACAGGUGUGUUUGAGUUCAUUUCACAAGUAAAUAUUAUUUUAAUACUUUUUCACAAAACUACGUUUAAUUUAAUUGUUAAUUGUGUUACUUCUCAUUUUUUAACAACUAGUGUAAUUUUAAAAUUUGAUGCACUGAAAAAAAUUUGCUAAAGAAACAAUUUUCACUCAAAAAAUGCAGUUUUUCUACUUCAAAAUUAGAAAUUGUUUCUACACACAUUUGUUUUUUGUAAAAAAACAAAAACAAAUUUGUGAAUAAAACAAAGAUGGUAUUUGAGUACAUUUCACAAGAAAAUAUUUUUAUACUUCUACGUUUAUACUAAAAUUUCAUGUUUAGUUUAAUUAAUUGUGUUACUUGUCAUUUCUUAAUAAUUACUGCAAUUGUGAAAUUUGAUACACUGAAAAAAAUAGAAAAAGAAACAAGUACAUUUUACAAAUAAUUACUAAGAAAAUUAAAAAAUGUAUAUCUGUUUUGUUUAGAAGAUGGAAAAAUAAUUUCAGUGCUUAAAUACAAUAAAGAAAAUUGUCAUACAAAGUUUGUUUUUUUUCCAUUCAAAAAUUGUUAAUAAAUUUCACAAAUAAUUACAAAUAAAUGGCAAGAAACACAAUUAAGCAAUUAAAUUUGAAUCAAAUUAAGCAUGAAUAAUUAAUUUUUCAGUUCUUUUAAAUUAUAAUAAAAAAUAUUUCACUAUUUUUUGCUGUAUUCUUAAAUAGUUUAAAAUCCUAAUUAUUCUCAGCUCUUCAUUUGAAGUGUAUAUUGUGCCUUUUUUGUUAAUAGCAAUGAGGGCAUAAUAAUUAGUCUAAGUAAAGACUAAACAGUAGAUUAAACUUUUCUGUGCAAUCUAAAUUAAUCUCAUUUGUAUUGUGUGUGUGUGUGUGUGUGUGUGUAUAUAUAUAAUAUAUAUAUAUAUGUAUAAUUAUUAUUAAUUUUUUAUUUUUUUAUUUCUUUUAUUCAUCUGUGAGUUGGUUGAUUAAGUGCCUGUGGAGAUGAUGAUUGGGGAAAAAUACUUCCUGGCGCAAAAUUGCUGAAAAAGCGGGCAAAGAGCCGGCGCUGCUGACGGAUGGUCGGUGACAGACGGCGACAUCCUCUUAGCGAGCAGACAGGUGAACCGUGCCACUGAGAGUAACGCGCAUCGCUAACACGCCGCACAGAUUAAAGGGCUACUUGCACCGCUGAUAACGAAGAGGUCUGAAUACAUUAAAUCACGCCGUGAGGACGGACGCCACGUGGGCUGUAAUCACAUUGCCUGCUGCUCUGCGCUCAGAGCGACUGCUCAUUCAAAAGCCAUCAUGAAGCACUCAAGCCUCACGUAUUUCCAUCCGUCCCCGGAAAGCGGCCUCGUUCCGACCGAAACGCUCGCUCUCGGUCUCCGUUCGCUCUCAGACUAAACAUUCUCUGAGCAAGGAACGGGAUCGGAGUCCGCUGUGCCUUCAUGCUGUCAGAUAGCAGAUGAACGUUGUCCUGUUUGAUAAGGACAAGAACAUCUUGGCAAAUCUGACAAGACAUCUUUCUUCUGUUUCUUUUGACAAACCCAACACAGGCGACAUUUUAAGGACAGAGAGAUAGUGUUUGUGUUUACACCAGUGCUCAAGAGUUGGUUAAGAGUCUCUUCUGCUCACUAAGGCUGCAUUUAUUUUAUCAAAAGUACAAUAAAAAUUGUGAAAUAUUAUUUUAAUUUAAACUAGAUGUUUUGUAUGUGAUUAUCUGUUCAUAUGUAAUUUAUUUCUGUGAUGCGCAGCUGAAUUUUCAGCAUCAUUACUCUAGUCUUCAGUGUCACAUGAUCUUUUAGAAAUCAUGCUAAUAUGCUGAUUUCCUGCAUUUUUUGAUCAAAAAUGCAGUAAAAAUAGUGACAUAUUAUUCUAAUUUUAAAAAGCUGUUUUCUAUGUGAUUAUCUGUCCAAAUGUAAUUUAUUUAUGCGAUAGAAUCAGAAUUUUCAGCAUCAUUACUCCAGUCUUCAGUGUCACAUGAUCCUUCAGAAGUUUCUAAUAUGCUGAUUUCCGACAUUUAUUUGAUUAAAAAUGCAGUAAAAAUUGUGAAAUAUUAUUUUAAUUUAAAAUAGAUGUUUUCUAUAUGAAAAUCUGUUAAAAUGUAAUUUAUUUCUGUGGUAAAAGGUGGAUUUUCAGCAUUGUUACUCCAGUCUUCAGUGUCACAUGAUCUUUUAGAAAUCUUUCUGAUAUGCUGAUUUCCUGCAUUUAUUUAAUCAUAAAUGCUGUAAAAAUAGUGAAAUAUUAUUCUAAUUUAAAACAACUGUUUUCUAUGUGAAUAUCUGUUAAAAUAUAAUUUAUUUAUGCGAUAGAAUCUGAAUUUUCAGCAUCAUUACUCCAGUCUUCAGUUUCACAUGAUCCUUCAGAAAUCAUUCUAAUAUGCUGAUUUCCUGCUUAAGAAACAUUUCUGAUUAUUAAAAUGUUGAAAUUGCUGAGUAGAUCUAAUACUUUUAUUCAUCAAGGAUGGAAUAAAUUGAUCAAAAGUGACAGGAAAGAUGUUUAUAAUGUUACAAAAGAUUUCUGUUUUCAGUAAAUGCUGCUCUUUUGAACUUUAUAUUCAUCUGUGAAUCCUGACAAAUAACAGAAAUGACAGUUUUCACUAAAAUAUUGUGCAGCACAAUGUUUUCAAUUGUUUUCAGCAUUACUAAUAAUCAUAAAUGUUUGUUGAGCAGCAAAUCAGCAUAUUAGAAUGAUUUUUUUAAAUAUCAUGUGACACUAAACACUGGAAUAACGAUGCUGAAAAUGCAGAUUUGAUCACAUAAAUAAAUUUCUUUUCAAUAUAGAUUCAAGUAGAAAACAGCUAUUUUAAAUUAGAAUAAUAUUUUGCAAUUUUUACUGUGUUUUUGAUCAAAUAAAAGCAGCAAAUCAGCAUAUUAGAAUGAUAUUUGAAAUAUCAUGUGACACUAAACACUGGAAUAAUGAUGCUGAAAAUUCAGCUGCGCAUCAGAUUAAAAUGACGUUUUAACAGAUAUUCACAGCUGUUUUAAAUUAGAAUAAUAUUCACUAUUUGUACUGCAUUUGUGAUCAAAUAAAUGCAGCAAAUCAGCAUAUUGGAAUGAUUUUUUUAAAUAUCAUGUGACACUAAACACUGGAAUAACGAUGCUGAAAAUGCAGAUUUGAUCACAUAAAUAAAUUUCUUUUCAAUAUAGAUUCAAGUAGAAAACAGCUCUUUUAAAUUAGAAUAAUAUAUCACAAUUUUUACUGUGUUUUUGAUUAAAUAAAUGCAGCAUUGGUGAGCAGAAGUAGCUUCUUUAAAAAAGUUAAAAUAUUCUGAAUUAUUCCAAACUGCGUGUACUUGCAAAAAGUGUUUUAAAUGCUCCUGACAUGCAGGUGAAUAGGUGGCAAUACAUUGCAAAAAAUAGCUGUUCUUACUUAAAUCAAGAUAAAAUUACUUUACAAGUAAAACAAUGUAAGAUUUUAAGUCUUGCUGGUGCUAAAACGUAAUUUUCAUAAUUUAUUUAGAAAAGACUUAAUGUCUUAAGUGAUUUUACUAAAGUAAAUGCAUUUUGGUUUAAGAAUGUUUCGAUAUUUCUACUAGAAAACAAGACAAAAAUACUAAGUAAGAACAUCUUUUUUUGCAGUGCCUUUUAAAACGCCUUCUUUUGGCUGUAUUAUAAGUUCAUUUUGAGCUCAUUUUAAUUCAAAAAGCAACUUAACCUUGAUGCAACUUUGACAUUUUAACAGUUUUGUUUACUGAACAUAAUGUCUUUCAAAACAGAUCAGUUUGUAAACAUUUCUUAUCCUGUUUUUGCCUUUGAUUAUAUUUUUGCAUAUCACAGUGACCCUUCAAGAUAAAGGUUUUUUUUUUUUUCAUUUGCACAUUAUAUUUUAAUGCAUUGCUUGAUAAGUGUAAAUAGACUAAUGAAGUAUAAGCAUUAUUAUUUUUAAUAAAUGUCACCAUUUGUUUUUUAUUGCAAUAAUCCACUCAAGGUUGUGCAUUAUGGUGAUUUUUAGCAGGAGGUUUUAAGUGUUUCAAUUCACACGUGAUAAUCAGGCUUGAGUGAUUUAUUGCUGUAGUGUUGCACGCAGUUGUUCAGAUGUUUGUGCGGUGAAAUGUCCCUGAUGGUCAUCAUGCCCUUGGGCUCAAUCAAACACUGUUAGCUUUCAGUUUUCUCAGCUGUCUCUCUCCCUCUCUCUCUCACACUCCAGGAGACGGACGACCAUCUCUAAGAUCGCUCGUCUUUCUCGUGUUAAAGCUCCAGAGACGCUUCACCUCAGCAGACGGAUCUCUCGAGCUUACGCUGCCAUGAGACUCGGGCUAAGAGUCAAUCUGAGGUGUCUGACUCACGUAGAAAUUAUGAAUAAAACCAAUUUAAAGGCUCUAAAUAUGAUGAGAGGGAAUAUGAAAGGUCAGUCUGAGGCUUUAAACUCACCUAGAAAUUAUGGACAGAAGUGAUUUAAAAGCCCUACAAACAUGAUGAGAGGAAAUAUGAAAGCCCUACAAACAUGAUGAGAGGAAAUAUGAAAGGUCAAUCUGAGGCAUCUGACUCACCUAGAAAUUAUGGACAGAAGUGAUUUAAAGGCCCUAUAAACAUGAUGAGAGGGAAUAUGAAAGGUCAAUCUGAGGCUUUGAACUCACCUAGAAAUUAUGGACAGAAGUGAUUUAAAGGGUCCAUCUGAGGCAUCUGACUCACCUAGAAAUUAUGGACAGAAGUGAUUUAAAGCAGCUUUAAAGCAUUUAUGAAAUAAAAACGUGUUAAUAUUAUACCAUUUAUUUAAAAUAUUAAUUUAUUUUUAAGCAGACAGCAGUAUUUAUCGUGAUCCUUGGCUUAACAAACAUCUCUAAUUAAGGAUAGUGUGUUCAAAUUUUAAAAUGUGCAUUUUUAAUUAGCUUUUAAAAAAAUAAGCUCAGGAUUUUCCAGUGCAGAAGUUGAAAGGUUUUGCUUUUACAGCCUUGUGAUCACAAUUAGAGGGGAUAUAAGAGAUAACGUACGUUUGGCAUGUAAAAGAAAACCAAAACAUGAUGCAAAAGAUUAUUACUGCUAUCAUCUUGCGUGACAAUAAAUCAGUUAUUCAGGCAGGGAUGUCUUAAUUAUGCUAAAUCUCACACCACUGUUUGUUUACA
Long non-coding RNA from Labeo rohita (rohu), 5461 nucleotides. RefSeq lists it as uncharacterized. NCBI's taxonomy places the organism in Eukaryota, Metazoa, Chordata, Actinopteri, Cypriniformes, Cyprinidae. The transcript has 11 exons. The record is from RefSeq and is a predicted model, not a curated record.